GUGGCUGUGGCUUUGGUAGAGCAUGGCGCUUGCAACGCCAGGGGUGUGGGUUCGAUUCCCACAGGGGACC
RNAcentral lists this transfer RNA (70 nucleotides) under Salmo salar (Atlantic salmon). It matches the Rfam family "tRNA". From Rfam's summary of the family: Transfer RNA (tRNA) molecules are approximately 80 nucleotides in length. Their secondary structure includes four short double-helical elements and three loops (D, anti-codon, and T loops). Further hydrogen bonds mediate the characteristic L-shaped molecular structure. tRNAs have two regions of fundamental functional importance: the anti-codon, which is responsible for specific mRNA codon recognition, and the 3' end, to which the tRNAs corresponding amino acid is attached (by aminoacyl-tRNA synthetases). tRNAs cope with the degeneracy of the genetic code in two manners: having more than one tRNA (with a specific anti-codon) for a particular amino acid; and 'wobble' base-pairing, i.e. permitting non-standard base-pairing at the 3rd anti-codon position. The record is from Rfam by way of RNAcentral. Lineage: Eukaryota; Metazoa; Chordata; Actinopteri; Salmoniformes; Salmonidae.